This 468-nucleotide ribosomal RNA is filed under the name uncultured bacterium. RNAcentral describes it as "partial 16S ribosomal RNA". It matches the Rfam family "Bacterial small subunit ribosomal RNA", at positions 28 to 507 of the family's 1533-position model. The record is from RNAcentral.
GACGAACGCUGGCGGCGUGCUUAACACAUGCAAGUCGAACGGAAAGGCCCUGCUUUUGUGGGGUGCUCGAGUGGCGAACGGGUGAGUAACACGUGAGUAACCUGCCCUUGACUUUGGGAUAACUUCAGGAAACUGGGGCUCAUACCGGAUAGGAGCUCCUGCUGCAUGGUGGGGGUUGGAAAGUUUCGGCGGUUGGGGAUGGACUCGCGGCUUAUCAGCUUGUUGGUGGGGUAGUGGCUUACCAAGGCUUUGACGGGUAGCCGGCCUGAGAGGGUGACCGGCCACAUUGGGACUGAGGUACGGCCCAGACUCCUACGGGAGGCAGCAGUGGGGAAUAUUGCACAAUGGGCGGAAGUCUGAUGCAGCAACGCCGCGUGCGGGAUGACGGCCUUCGGGUUGUAAACCGCUUUCGCCUGUGACGAAGCGUGAGUGACGGUAAUGGGUAAAGAAGCACCGGCUAACUACGUG